RNAcentral lists this long non-coding RNA (636 nucleotides) under Theobroma cacao (cacao). Its description in RNAcentral is "long non-coding RNA (TCAC_LNC001487)". The record is from RNAcentral. Lineage: Eukaryota; Viridiplantae; Streptophyta; Magnoliopsida; Malvales; Malvaceae.
GAUUCUUCAAGCUUCCAGCAACUUUUUUUUUUUCCUCACCCAUCCAAUGCCAUUUUUCAUUCCACCUCCAUGAAAAUCAAAUUUUUCAUGUGAUUUUUCCUUGUUUUCUUUUUAUUUCUUUUCUUUUCCUAAUCCUUCAUUCUCCUAACUUCUUGGGCACUGAAUUUGCAGCUUCUAACCCCAAUUUUCAGCACAUAUAAACCCUAGGAGAGAUAGAGAAAAAUCUCUCCUUGUUUCUUAUAUUUUCUAUUUCCACUUUACUUUCAACAACUCUAGGAUUUUUGGCUUCAAAUCUUCAUUUUCAAGGUUAAAAGGUAUAUAUUUCCAACUUUUGGAAUUUUUGAAUUUAUGGUUAUAUUUUCAGAUUUAUUCUUUAAUUUCUUCAAAUUAUUUUUCUUGAAAAAAUUAGGUUUUUGGUUGAUCUUCAUGCCUCCAAACGAAAUUUAAAUUGGAGUAGUUGACAAAAUGGGUUUGUGAAUUAGACUAGAAACUUAGGUUAAAUGUUAGGUUAGAGGGUAGAUUGCCUAUUGUAAAUUCAUUAGAAUUAUUAGAUUUAAUUUACAACUUAAUUGAGGUUGUUAUGGUUUAUUGAUAAAUAUAGGUUUUAAUGGUAUUUCGGGACUACUUGGAUUAGGA